GCUGGGUGUGGUGACGCAUGCCUGUAGUCCCAGCUACUCAGGAGGCUGAGGCAGAAGAAUCGCUUGAACCCAGGAGAUGGAGGUUGCAGUAAGCCGAGAUCACACCACUACACUCCAGCCUGGGUGACAGAGCGAGACUCUGUCUCAA
Molecule: non-coding RNA, 148 nt
Filed under: Pan troglodytes (chimpanzee)
Lineage: Eukaryota; Metazoa; Chordata; Mammalia; Primates; Hominidae
Source: Rfam by way of RNAcentral